GAUGAACGCUGGCGGCGUGCCUAAUACAUGCAAGUCGAGCGAACGGACGAGAAGCUUGCUUUUCUGAUGUUAGCGGCGGACGGGUGAGUAACACGUGGAUAACCUACCUAUAAGACUGGGAUAACUUCGGGAAACCGGAGCUAAUACCGGAUAAUAUUUUGAACCGCAUGGUUCAAAAGUGAAAGACGGUCUUGCUGUCACUUAUAGAUGGAUCCGCGCUGCAUUAGCUAGUUGGUAAGGUAACGGCUUACCAAGGCAACGAUGCAUAGCCGACCUGAGAGGGUGAUCGGCCACACUGGAACUGAGACACGGUCCAGACUCCUACGGGAGGCAGCAGUAGGGAAUCCUCCGCAAUGGGCGAAAGCCUGACGGAGCAACGCCGCGUGAGUGAUGAAGGUCUUCGGAUCGUAAAACUCUGUUAUUAGGGAAGAACAUAUGUGUAAGUAACUGUGCACAUCUUGACGGUACCUAAUCAGAAAGCCACGGCUAACUACGUG
This 497-nucleotide ribosomal RNA is filed under the name uncultured bacterium. RNAcentral describes it as "partial 16S ribosomal RNA". It matches the Rfam family "Bacterial small subunit ribosomal RNA", at positions 28 to 507 of the family's 1533-position model. The record is from RNAcentral.